RNAcentral lists this ribosomal RNA (445 nucleotides) under uncultured bacterium. RNAcentral's name for it is "bacterial SSU rRNA". It matches the Rfam family "Bacterial small subunit ribosomal RNA", at positions 93 to 535 of the family's 1533-position model. The record is from RNAcentral.
GACCGGCGCACGGGUGAGUAACGCGUAUGUAAUCUGCCUUGUACAGAGGGAUAGCCCAGAGAAAUUUGGAUUAAUACCUCAUAGUAUUACUGAGUCGCAUGAUUUGGUAAUUAAAGCUCCGGCGGUACAAGAUGAACAUGCGUGACAUUAGCUAGUUGGUAAGGUAACGGCUUACCAAGGCUACGAUGUCUAGGGGUUCUGAGAGGAUGAUCCCCCACACUGGUACUGAGACACGGACCAGACUCCUACGGGAGGCAGCAGUGAGGAAUAUUGGUCAAUGGACGCAAGUCUGAACCAGCCAUCCCGCGUGAAGGAUGACUGCCCUAUGGGUUGUAAACUUCUUUUAUAUGCAAAUAAACCUACUUUCGUGAAAGUAGCUGAAGGUAGCAUAUGAAUAAACACCGGCUAACUCCCGUGCCAGCAGCCGCGGUAAUACGGAGGGUGU